GGGGUGCAGCAGGCGCGAAAACUUUACAAUGCUGGCAACAGCGAUAAGGGGACCUCGAGUGCCAGGAUACGAUCUUGGCUGUCGCGAUGCCUAAAAAGCAUUGCAUAGCAAGGGCCGGGCAAGACCGGUGCCAGCCGCCGCGGUAACACCGGCGGCUCGAGUGGUAACCGCUAUUAUUGGGUCUAAAGGGUCUGUAGCCGGCCGGAUAAGUCUUUUGGGAAAUCCAGCUGCUCAACAGUUGGGCUUUCAGAAGAUACUGUUCGGCUCGAGACCGGGAGAGGUGAGAGGUACUUCAGGGGUAGGGGUGAAAUCUUGUAAUCCUUGAAGGACCACCAGUGGCGAAGGCGUCUCACCAGAACGGAUCUGACGGCAAGGGACGAAAGCUAGGGGCACGAACCGGAUUAGAUACCCGGGUAGUCCUAGCCGUAAACGAUACUCGCUAGGUGUCAGCCACGGUGCGACCGUGGUUGGUGCCGUAGGGAAGCCGUGAAGCGAGCCACCUGGGAAGUACGGCCGCAAGGCUGAAACUUAAAGGAAU
RNAcentral lists this ribosomal RNA (538 nucleotides) under uncultured archaeon. RNAcentral's name for it is "bacterial SSU rRNA". It matches the Rfam family "Archaeal small subunit ribosomal RNA", at positions 327 to 865 of the family's 1478-position model. The record is from RNAcentral.